GUGAGGAAUAUUGGUCAAUGGGCGGAAGCCUGAACCAGCCAAGUAGCGUGCAGGACGACGGCCCUAUGGGUUGUAAACUGCUUUUGAAGGGGAAUAAGGUGCGCCCUGCGGGGUGCAUUGCAGGUACCCUUGGAAUAAGGACCGGCUAAUUCCGUGCCAGCAGCCGCGGUAAUACGGAAGGUCCAGGCGUUAUCCGGAUUUAUUGGGUUUAAAGGGAGCGUAGGCCGCCCCACAAGCGUGCUGUGAAAUGCAGGUGCCCAACAUCUGCACUGCAGCGCGAACUGUAGGGCUUGAGUGCGCACAACGCAGGCGGAAUUCGUGGUGUAGCGGUGAAAUGCUUAGAUAUCACGAAGAACCCCGAUUGCGAAGGCAGCUUGCGGGAGCGCUACUGACGCUGAAGCUCGAAAGUGCGGGAAUCAAACAGGAUUAGAAACCCCUGUAGUCC
This 445-nucleotide ribosomal RNA is filed under the name uncultured bacterium. RNAcentral describes it as "partial 16S ribosomal RNA". It matches the Rfam family "Bacterial small subunit ribosomal RNA", at positions 354 to 796 of the family's 1533-position model. The record is from RNAcentral.